Long non-coding RNA from Camelus dromedarius (Arabian camel), 674 nucleotides. RefSeq lists it as uncharacterized. The transcript has 4 exons. Lineage: Eukaryota; Metazoa; Chordata; Mammalia; Artiodactyla; Camelidae. The record is from RefSeq and is a predicted model, not a curated record.
CCUGGGAGAGCCUCGCUUCUCCUCUUCAGAACUAGGGUUGUGAGUUGGACCUGGAGGCUCUCGGAUAGAUUCAAGCCAGGACUUGAUUAGGUGAGGACACAGAGGUCGGAACAUGCCUGAUGACUCAGCUGUUUAGAGUAAGUGCUUUAGUUUGGAUAAUUUCUGUACCUACGUCUUCAAUGGCUUCUAUGCAGAACCAUUUUAACAGAUGACAGCUGAAUUACAGCAAGCCAUUAUAGACAUGGCACACAUCCCAAGCAUGGAGAGUGGUAUUACCAAGCUCCAUCCCCAGGAACCGCACUCAGCAUCAAGCUGCCAUAGCUUUGAACUGUGUCUGUGAGCAUCUGUACUUUAUCUUGAUUUAUUCUGUGCAUCCAUUAGCAAGAUGUGCUUAAGGUAAUUGCUUUUUGCUUUGUAGCAUGUUGGCUUAGGAAAGGUUUCUACUCUUGGACAGCAGGGUAAAUUUUAUUUAUAUAAAUGUAUCCAUAUCAUCAUAUGUAAGAAUACUUUCUUAAAUUGUUACCAAAAAUGUUGUUUGUGUGCAUAAGGGUGUUGGUUUUAUUAUGCCCAGAAAUAGAUUAAACUGACGACUAAAAUAAAAUGAAAAGCAAAACAGUACAGAACUCCUAAAAUGUGGAGCUUUUAACUUAAUAAACUACCAAACAUGCAAAUUA